UUUUAGGGUGGAGCACUAGAAUUCAGUUAGCACUGACCAAGUGGCAAAACUGAGAUGCUUAAAUCUUGUAAUAUAGAAAAGGGAAGAAGAGCAUUUUAGCCAGUGGAUUCUGAGGCAUGACCUGUUUUACCUCUAUAACUGGUUUGAUGAAUUGUCUGAAUUUAGUGGAAGCACACAUGGAAUGAUUUUCUUUUUCUCCAGCCACUGCCUUCGUAUAAGCUGCUUUCUGUGCUGCUUAGUGUCAUCUUUUUAGUUUUGUUAAAGUUGCUUUCCCUGCUCCUUAGUGUCAUCUUUUUAGUUUUGUGUGGAGAGGGGGGUGGUGAAGGGUAUUAAAAAUCCAAUCCAGUCCAUCCCAGUCCAGAUA
Molecule: long non-coding RNA, 364 nt
Filed under: Bos taurus (domestic cattle)
Lineage: Eukaryota; Metazoa; Chordata; Mammalia; Artiodactyla; Bovidae
Description: long non-coding RNA NONBTAT000565
Source: RNAcentral